AUACGUAGGGGGCAAGCGUUGUCCGGAAUUAUUGGGCGUAAAGCGCGCGCAGGCGGCGCUUUAAGUUGGAGGUUAAAGGCAAUGGCUCAACCAUUGUUCGCCUCCAAAACUGGAGCGCUUGAGUGCAGCAGAGGAAAGUGGAAUUCCCGGUGUAGCGGUGGAAUGCGUAGAGAUCGGGAGGAACACCAGUGGCGAAGGCGACUUUCUGGGCUGUAACUGACGCUGAGGCGCGAAAGCGUGGGGAGCAAACAGGAUUAGAUACCCUGGUAGUCCACGCCGUAAACGAUGAGUGCUAGGUGUUGGGGGCCUUCCCGCCCUCAGUGCCGAAGCUAACGCAUUAAGCACUCCGCCUGGGGAGUACGGCCGCAAGGCUGAA
Molecule: ribosomal RNA, 376 nt
Filed under: uncultured bacterium
Lineage: Bacteria
Description: bacterial SSU rRNA
Rfam family: Bacterial small subunit ribosomal RNA
Source: RNAcentral